CCUAAUUUUGAGAAGGCCCUUGUCCUUCAACUUUUUGAUUUGAAAAGAAAGCGGGGGGAGAGAACGGAUUGGUACAUAGCCCAAAUUGCGCUCCAAUUCUCCCACUCUCACAGUCCUUUUUCUUACUCUUACGAAACACUACACGCUACACACAAUUCUUCUGGUCACUAAAACUCUCGCCCUGAAAUUGCACUUGCGCAAACUUUGAGUUCCUUCUGUCGUGUAAAGAUGAGUUUUUUUUUACCAUUUGAAAACCCCAUUGGAGAUGCAGUGUCCACAGUCCGAUUUGCUCCGCAUUCCAACAAUCUUCUCAUUUCUUCUUGGGAUUCUAGUCUUAGAUUGUACGAUGUGGAUAGCUUUCUGCUUAGGUUAGAAGCUCCUUCACAAGCUGCACUUCUCCAUUGUUGUUUUCAUAGUGAGACUGUUGCUUUCAGUGCAGGUUCUGAUGGUUGCCUUAGAAGGUAUGACUUGCAUUUAGGAAGUAAUGAUACAAUUGGAAGUCAUAGUGAUAUAGCAACGAGUGUUGAAUAUAGUGAUCAAACAAGUCUAGUGAUAUCCGCUGGUUUUGACAAGAAUAUAAUGUUCUGGGAUUUGCGCUUGGCAAAGUCUCCGGCAUACCUGAGAAAUUUGGGCGCAGAAGUUGCGUCCAUGUCUCUCUCUGGGUUUGAUUUGAUGCUAGCUGUUGGGAAAUCAGUAAAUGUAUAUGACCUGCGAAACAUGGGGAAGCCAGUUCAUUUUAAAGAAAAUCACACGGAUGUACAAAUAAAAUGCAUUAGCUCAUUUCCUUAUCGUAGAGGAUAUGCUGUUGGAUCAGUAGAUGGACGGGUAGCGUUGGAGUUCUUGGAUCCAUCCAAUUCUAACGAAGGAUAUACAUUCCGGUGUCACCCCAAAUCAAGAGAUGGAAGAACACAUCUAGUUUCAAUCAAUGACAUAGUCUUCAAUCCUCUUGUAUGUGGCACUUUUGUUACCGGUGAUAACGACGGAUAUAUUAUCACAUGGCAUAAUGAAAGUAAAAGAAGAUUAUGUGAGUUUUCUAGAUACCCAAACAGCGUGGCGUCUUUAUCAUUCAACCAUUUGGGAGAACUUUUGGCUAUUGCAUCCAGCUAUACUUACCAAGAAGCUAAUGAAAUGGAAGUGUCCCCCCAAAUAUUUGUACAGAAGAUGGAUGACAGGUAGGUCAUUUUCUGCUGGAGAUUCAAGUAAAGACAUGACGACCGUUGUAAUUUGCUCGGUGGAAAAGAAGACCGAGUCGACCUAAUUCGUUAUUGACAUUGCUGAACUUGCCACGGAAGAUCAACCUGGAAAAGAUUUUCACGCCUUUUCUUAAAUUUGAUUUUUAAAUGAUUGGUUACUGACGUUCAAAAUUUGUAACUUCAUUGUUGAAAUAAUUCGAGAGAUUCAUUGCUCCGAUUCAUCGCUGUAAUGUUUAACGGACCUCAUUGUGAAUGUUCGUAUAUAUAUAUAUAUAUAUAUAUAUAUUCAGUUUGAUUUUCUUUGCUGUU
This is an RNA transcript of Ricinus communis (castor bean), 1502 nucleotides long. It is a transcript of the gene named mitotic checkpoint protein BUB3.3, with no coding region annotated. The transcript is spliced from 11 exons. The record is from RefSeq and is a predicted model, not a curated record. Lineage: Eukaryota; Viridiplantae; Streptophyta; Magnoliopsida; Malpighiales; Euphorbiaceae.